RNAcentral lists this ribosomal RNA (258 nucleotides) under uncultured bacterium. RNAcentral's name for it is "partial 16S ribosomal RNA". It matches the Rfam family "Bacterial small subunit ribosomal RNA", at positions 94 to 354 of the family's 1533-position model. The record is from RNAcentral.
CCGGACGCACGGGUGAGUAACACGUAUGCAACCUGCCCGUCUCAGGGGGAUAAUCGUCGGAAACGGCGUCUAAUACCCCGUAUGAAGCUGGACGGCAUCGUCUGGUUUUGAAAGAAUAUCGGAGACGGAUGGGCAUGCGGCGCAUUAGCUAGUUGGCGGGGUAACGGCCCAUCAAGGCGACGAUGCGUAGGGGUUCUGAGAGGAAGGUCCCCCACACUGGUACUGAGACACGGACCAGACUCCUACGGAAGGCAGCAG